This 415-nucleotide ribosomal RNA is filed under the name uncultured prokaryote. RNAcentral describes it as "bacterial SSU rRNA". It matches the Rfam family "Bacterial small subunit ribosomal RNA", at positions 505 to 918 of the family's 1533-position model. The record is from RNAcentral.
GUGUCAGCAGCCGCGGUAAGACGUAGGGGGCAAGCGUUGCUCGGAUUCAUUGGGCGUAAAGAGCACGUAGGCGGCUUGCCAGGUCUGAUGUGAAAGCCUGGGGCUCAACCCCAGAACUGCAUCGGGAACCGGUUUGCUAGAGUCUGGGAGAGGGGAGUGGAAUUCCUGGUGUAGCGGUGAAAUGCGUAGAUAUCAGGAGGAACACCGGUAGCGAAGGCGGCUCCCUGGAACAGCACUGACGCUGAGGCGCGAAAGCUAGGGGAGCAAACAGGAUUAGAUACCCUGGUAGUCCUAGCCCUAAACGAUGGACACUAGGUGUCGGGGGUGUCGACUCCCCCGGUGCCGAAGCUAACGCAUUAAGUGUCCCGCCUGGGGAGUACGGCCGCAAGGCUAAAACUUAAAGGAAUUGGCGGGG